Molecule: RNA transcript, 3632 nt
Organism: Bacillus rossius redtenbacheri
Lineage: Eukaryota; Metazoa; Arthropoda; Insecta; Phasmatodea; Bacillidae
Gene: Vmat
Gene name: synaptic vesicular amine transporter
Exons: 14
Source: RefSeq, a predicted model, not a curated record
CGGAGCGGCGCGCAGUUGUGCCCGCCGCCCGCCAGGGGAGCAGCAGUCACGCCUCGCAGCGGCGGCGGCGCGCAGAGAGGCGGGGGGCCGCCCCCUCCGCCCCCGGCCAGCGGCAUGAGCGGGUAGCCGCAGCCACGGCGCCGUCCGGCCUGUGGUCCGGCAUGACCGUGGUGAAGGAGUGCGCGAUGGGCGCGCGGGUGUCCGGCUUCCUGCAGAGGUGCAGGGAGUCCCGCCGCCUGGUGCUCGUCAUCGUGGCCAUAGCGCUGCUGCUGGACAACAUGCUGCUCACCACCGUCGUGCCGAUCAUCCCCGAGUUCCUGUACGACAUCCGGCACCCCAACGAGACCCGCCUGAGGGACCACCCUCCCCCGGUCACCACCCCCGAGCCGCCAGACACCGCCAGCCUGGAGUUCCUCGACCUCACCACCGCGCCGUACGACCUGCUCGGCAACCUCACCACGCUGUCGCCCAGCCAAGAGCGCAAGCGCAGGCGCCACAAGGACCUCAUCGAGGAGACGGUGGCCGUCGGCAUGAUGUUCGCGUCCAAGGCCUUCGUCCAGCUGCUGUCCAACCCCAUCGUCGGCCCGCUCACCCACAAAAUUGGCUACAGCAUCCCGAUGUUCACAGGCUUUGUGAUCAUGUUCCUGUCCACACUGAUCUUCGCCUUCGGCCGCAGCUACAGCGUGUUGUUCCUGGCCAGGGCGCUGCAGGGCAUCGGCUCCUCCUGCUCCAGCGUGUCAGGCAUGGGCAUGCUGGCGGAGCGCUACCCCGACGACAAGGAGCGCGGCAACGCCAUGGGCAUCGCGCUGGGAGGCCUGGCGCUGGGCGUGCUGAUCGGCCCGCCCUUCGGCGGCGUCAUGUACGAGUUCGUCGGCAAGUCGGCGCCCUUCCUCGUGCUGUCCGCCCUGGCGCUCGGCGACGGCCUGCUGCAGCUGCUCAUGCUGCAACCCGCCGUGGUGCUGCAGGAGUCGGACCCGCCGUCCCUCAAGGCGCUCGUCAUGGACCCCUACAUCAUCGUGGCGGCAGGCGCCAUCACCUUCGCCAACAUGGGCAUCGCGAUGCUGGAGCCGUCGCUGCCCAUAUGGAUGAUGGACACGAUGGACGCGGACCGCUGGCAGCAGGGCGUCACCUUCCUGCCCGCCAGCAUCUCCUACCUCAUCGGCACCAACCUGUUCGGCCCGCUGGGUCACCGCAUGGGCAGGUGGCUGGCCUCUCUAAUAGGAUUGGUUGUCAUCGGGAUAUGCCUCAUGUGUAUCCCGCUGGCCAGCAACAUCAACCACCUGAUCGUGCCAAACGCCGGCCUGGGCUUCGCCAUCGGCAUGGUGGACAGCUCCAUGAUGCCGGAGCUGGGCUACCUGGUGGACAUCCGGCACACCGCGGUCUACGGCAGCGUCUACGCCAUCGGGGACGUGGCGUUCUGCCUGGGCUUCGCCGUCGGUCCGGCCCUGAGCGGCACCCUCGUCAACACCAUCGGGUUCGAGUGGAUGCUGUUCGGGAUCGCCAUCCUCAACUUCCUGUACGCCCCGCUCAUGUACCUGCUGAGGAGCCCGCCCACCAAGGAGGAGAUGAAGGGCUUGGAUAAGUUUGUCAGCAGAAUAUGUUGUAAGUAGUCCAGCGUCUCCGAAGAGUUGCAAUCGGAAGUUCGUCCGCAGUUUUUCUUUUUUAAGUCGCUCGUCAUGGGCGAGAAAUCCUCCGUGAGGUACGUCACUUACCAGAACGAGGAGGAAGACGAGUAAACUCAGCACCGUCAGCCAGGCAGUGUCGUACAAAACAUUUCACUACCAGAAGCACCCAACUAAACUCAGCAGAACCACACCGGACGUCGACCAUGCAAACACAGUAGUUGAACCGAGGUGAUGUAAAUACGUCACAUUAACCAAUCAACGAGUUUCCCACGCCACUGACGAGUACAACUUGUUUGGCCAGUAAUUUCAAGAACCAAAGGUUGCCAAAAAAAAAAAAAAGAAAAAAAAAAUCAAGUUCUGUAACCACACAAGGUAUAUAUAAUGUACAGAUAAUAUUAUUGGAAGAAUAAAUAUAAAACCUGAACGAUGUUGAUACUGUAGUCAACACAUAUUUUUAUCUAAAUACUUUGUAGUAAAUUAUUCAUGUAUUUUUGUCAAGUCCCAACUAAAUUUUUUUUUAAAUUUUAAAUGAAUUAUAUUCUUGUAUAAAAAAAUAACUUGUUUGUAAACAAAUUCUGUAUUAGUUAAAUAAUGAGGUGUUUUAUGCUUCAGAUGAGAAUUUCUUUUCCGACUGCAUAAUCACUUCAACAUAGAAUAAAGUUUUCUUUGCCCUUGCGCUAGUAUUAUGUAGAGUUGUACUUCUCAAGAAAUGCCUGCCAACAGGGUAUUAGAAUUAAUAGAUAUUCUUGGUUUUCUUCUCUUCGCAAAUACAAAACCAAAAUGCAAGUACUGACUUGACAGAUUCACACAAUUCUCUAACUUUUUUUUAGUAUGUUUGAGCACAGAAAAAAAAAAGGACAAUUUACAAUGAUUUUACCGUGCUGGGAGUGUACAACUUAUUUUCGCAAAAAUUAACAAAAUUCCAAAAUAAUCUAAAAGCACAGGUUUUGCCCUAAUUGAAAGAUUCUCGUGAAUGGCUGCAUGGAAUCUAAGUAAAGGGUUGUUUUGAAAAGAAAACCUGUGAACAUUGGCUAAAUUAAAUUUUUGGUGUCACAUAAAAUUAUUAAGUGGAUGAUUAACAAUUGAAAACACUCUUAGUCACACCAUUCCAGGAGUCGACACUGGGAAUGCAUGUUUAAGGCUCUUGUGCAGUAGCCGUCUUCUGAAUGCUUCACAAACUGGACUUUCACAGAACAGCAUGCAUGAUUGAUGAUCAUGCAGCAAAGUUUCACGAAUGACGCCUCUCAGACCAAUUUUGCAGCGUAAUUUUUUCCGAACGCCAGAGGAUGUUAAAAGCGACGUUUUUUAGAUGUGGAAAUCUGAAGGGAACAAAUGAGAGCGGUCCAGAGGUAUGAGAAAUUGUAAAUUAAAAUACGAGGCUGUUUUUGAAAUGACAAAGAUACACUCUUUACACUUUGCAUGUAAAAUGCUAAUAAUGGAUGUUACAGUGUAUCAUUGUUGGUAUUAUUUUUGUAUGCUGAGGUUAUUUUUGUUAUUAAAGAGUAUGAAUUUUAAUAUUCUUCAGGGGAGCCAUUCAUGCGGCCCUCUGUUUAGAUAUUGUGAGCAGACAAUAACUUGUCAAGACACACCGACAUUUGCUGCAGCAAUGCUAGCAUUAAAACAUUGUCUGCAAGCAAAGUUAUAGCUGGUUUGGGGUCCGAAAAAACAAAUAUACAUAUACUAUAUAUAUAUAUAUAUAUAUAUACAAUCGUAAGAUAGCAACAUGACGAAUACCUCCUGCAAGUUCGAAACUCAAAACCAACUCGGUGGCAAGUUUGAAUACUGAGAGGCUCGUCUGUUCAAAAAUCUUAUAAUAUGUAAGUGUAAAUUAUAUUAUCUUGUAUGUGAGGGACACUUGUUAUAUUCUCUUGAUGAAAAACAAACAGGUUACAAACUAUAUAUAUUAUAUACAUGUGUUGCAGAAUUUCGUGGCAAUUGUGAAUGAACAGCUUCUUAUAUUGUAUGGUGUUUGCUGAAAUGUGGUGCAAUAAAUAAAUAAAGUUCAAC